UACGUAGGGUGCAGGCGUUAAUCGGAAUUACUGGGCGUAAAGCGUGCGCAGGCGGUCUUUUAAGUCAGAUGUGAAAUCCCCAGGCUCAACCUGGGAACUGCGUCUGAUACUGGAUGGCUUGAAUCCGGGAGAGGGAUGCAGAAUUCCAGGUGUAGCGGUGAAAUGCGUAGAUAUCUGGAGGAAUACCGGUGGCGAAGGCGGCAUCCUGGACCGGCAUUGACGCUGAGGAGCGAAAGCCAGGGGAGCAAACGGG
RNAcentral lists this ribosomal RNA (253 nucleotides) under uncultured bacterium. RNAcentral describes it as "partial 16S ribosomal RNA". It matches the Rfam family "Bacterial small subunit ribosomal RNA", at positions 524 to 776 of the family's 1533-position model. The record is from RNAcentral.